RNAcentral lists this long non-coding RNA (762 nucleotides) under Homo sapiens (human). Its description in RNAcentral is "non-protein coding lnc-AMELY-1:4". The record is from RNAcentral. Lineage: Eukaryota; Metazoa; Chordata; Mammalia; Primates; Hominidae.
GUCUGUGGGAGCACCCAGGAGAAAACCGUGUUCAGGCUGGAGGCAAUGCUGGAGAGGACGGCCGGGGUACAGAGCAAGGAGGCGGCCUUGGAAGAGGAGGCGGUGCUGAAGGUGGAAGACAUCAUGGCUGAGGUGGAGGUGGUGGUUGAGGUGGAGCCCGACGUGGGGUGGCAGAAGGAGGGCCAGCGGGCACAGCCUGGCCCUGGACCGAGCACACCGGGGCCGUCAAUGGACUCGCUGGAGGUCCUUCACUUGGAGCUGGGCUCCGUGAAUGCCCCAGGCCACAGAGCAUGCUCACCCCAGAAACACAAGCCAGACAGAGAUAGAGGGCCAACAAUGAAAUUGCAAGGCGUCACGAGGCUUGCCCACCCAAUCCUCUGGAGAGUUCUUGCGCAGAGACACGAGAUGUCGGCGUGGGUCGGAAAGCAUGCGGAAGUCCUGCUUUGCUACGUGAUGGAUUUGCAGGUGGAGGAACUCAGCCAUCCCGGUUACCGGUGGCAGAUGAUUUCCUUUCAUCCCAACCUUUAUUUCCACAGUGAAAUCAUCAUGAAGGAGCACUGUGUUGGCAUCCUCGGCUACAGGGUGUCUCAUUCCACUGCAGUCCAGCGGUUCUGGGAUCACGAAGGUCAAGCCUCCAGCUGCAGGCAGUACACCUCCUACCUGAGCUCAUUCAGCUGUUUGGCUGAACAUGACUGCCCGGGUUUUGGCAGGAUUGCUGAGAUCAUCAGCCAGGGCCUAUGGCUCAAUCCAUUGCAGUUCUAU